RNAcentral lists this ribosomal RNA (366 nucleotides) under gamma proteobacterium WD589. RNAcentral describes it as "bacterial SSU rRNA". It matches the Rfam family "Bacterial small subunit ribosomal RNA", at positions 385 to 743 of the family's 1533-position model. Lineage: Bacteria; Pseudomonadati; Pseudomonadota; Gammaproteobacteria. The record is from RNAcentral.
GAUGCAGCCAUGCCGCGUGUGUGAAGAAGGCCUUCGGGUUGUAAAGCACUUUCAGCGGGGAGGAAGGCGUUAAGGUUAAUAACCUUGGCGAUUGACGUUACCCGCAGAAGAAGCACCGGCUAACUCCGUGCCAGCAGCCGCGGUAAUACGGAGGGUGCAAGCGUUAAUCGGAAUUACUGGGCGUAAAGCGCACGCAGGCGGUCUGUCAAGUCGGAUGUGAAAUCCCCGGGCUCAACCUGGGAACUGCAUUCGAAACUGGCAGGCUAGAGUCUUGUAGAGGGGGGUAGAAUUCCAGGUGUAGCGGUGAAAUGCGUANAGAUCUGGAGGAAUACCGGUGGCGAAGGCGGCCCCCUGGACAAAGACUGA